CCGGAUUUAAAUGUAGAUUGCAUAAAGUAGAGAUAUUUUUUUCCUUCACGGGACUAUCUACAAGGUGCUGCAUGGUUGUCGUCAGCUCGUGCCGUGAGGUGUCGGGUUAAGUCCCAUAACGAGCGCAACCCUUGCUACCAGUUACCAGCAUGUAAAGAUGGGGACUCUGGUAGGACUGCCGCCGUAAGGCGUGAGGAAGGAGGGGAUGACGUCAAAUCAGCACGGCCCUUACAUCCGGGGCGACACACGUGUUACAAUGGCCGGUACAGAGGGCCGCUACACUGCGAAGUGACGCUAAUCUCAAAAACCGGUCGUAGUUCGGAUUGGAGUCUGCAACUCGACUCCAUGAAGCUGGAUUCGCUAGUAAUCGCAUAUCAGCCAUGAUGCGGUGAAUACGUUCC
Molecule: ribosomal RNA, 401 nt
Filed under: uncultured bacterium
Lineage: Bacteria
Description: bacterial SSU rRNA
Rfam family: Bacterial small subunit ribosomal RNA
Source: RNAcentral